UGGGGAAUAUUGGACAAUGGGCGAAAGCCUGAUCCAGCCAUGCCGCGUGUGUGAAGAAGGUCUUCGGAUUGUAAAGCACUUUAAGUUGGGAGGAAGGGCAGUAAGCGAAUACCUUGCUGUUUUGACGUUACCGACAGAAUAAGCACCGGCUAACUCUGUGCCAGCAGCCGCGGUAACACAGAGGGUGCAAGCGUUAAUCGGAAUUACUGGGCGUAAAGCGCGCGUAGGUGGUUCGUUAAGUUGAAUGUGAAAGCCCCGGGCUCAACCUGGGAACUGCAUCCAAAACUGGCGAGCUAGAGUAGGGCAGAGGGUGGUGGAAUUUCCUGUGUAGCGGUGAAAUGCGUAGAUAUAGGAAGGAACACCAGUGGCGAAGGCGACCACCUGGGCUCAUACUGACACUGAGGUGCGAAAGCGUGGUGAGCAAACAGG
RNAcentral lists this ribosomal RNA (429 nucleotides) under Pseudomonadota bacterium. RNAcentral's name for it is "Proteobacteria bacterium partial 16S ribosomal RNA". It matches the Rfam family "Bacterial small subunit ribosomal RNA", at positions 355 to 776 of the family's 1533-position model. The record is from RNAcentral. Lineage: Bacteria; Pseudomonadati; Pseudomonadota.